RNAcentral lists this ribosomal RNA (484 nucleotides) under uncultured bacterium. RNAcentral's name for it is "partial 16S ribosomal RNA". It matches the Rfam family "Bacterial small subunit ribosomal RNA", at positions 30 to 507 of the family's 1533-position model. The record is from RNAcentral.
AUUGAACGCUGGCGGCAGGCCUAACACAUGCAAGUCGAGCGGAUGAAGGGAGCUUGCUCCUGGAUUCAGCGGCGGACGGGUGAGUAAUGCCUAGGAAUCUGCCUGGUAGUGGGGGAUAACGUCCGGAAACGGGCGCUAAUACCGCAUACGUCCUGAGGGAGAAAGUGGGGGAUCUUCGGACCUCACGCUAUCAGAUGAGCCUAGGUCGGAUUAGCUAGUCGGUGGGGUAAAGGCCUACCAAGGCGACGAUCCGUAACUGGUCUGAGAGGAUGAUCAGUCACACUGGAACUGAGACACGGUCCAGACUCCUACGGGAGGCAGCAGUGGGGAAUAUUGGACAAUGGGCGAAAGCCUGAUCCAGCCAUGCCGCGUGUGUGAGGAAGGUCUUCGGAUUGUAAAGCACUUUAAGUUGGGAGGAAGGGCAGUAAGUUAAUACCUUGCUGUUUUGACGUUACCAACAGAAUAAGCACCGGCUAACUUCGUG